UACGUAGGGGGCAAGCGUUGUCCGGAAUCAUUGGGCGUAAAGAGCGUGUAGGCGGCCCGUUAAGUCCGCUGUGAAAGUCAAAGGCUCAACCUUUGAAUGUCAGCGGAUACUGCCGGGCUAGAGUCCGGAAGAGGCGAGUGGAAUUCCUGGUGUAGCGGUGGAAUGCGCAGAUAUCAGGAGGAACACCAACGGCGAAGGCAGCUCGCUAGGACGGUACUGACGCUGAGACGCGAAAGCGUGGGGAGCAAACAGG
Molecule: ribosomal RNA, 253 nt
Filed under: uncultured bacterium
Lineage: Bacteria
Description: partial 16S ribosomal RNA
Rfam family: Bacterial small subunit ribosomal RNA
Source: RNAcentral